AGGGGUAUAGUUCAAUGGCAGAACGAUGCUCUCCAAAAGCAUUAAUCUCCGUUCAAGUCGGAGUACCCCUG
This is a non-coding RNA of Candidatus Nomurabacteria bacterium GWB1_40_6, 71 nucleotides long. The record is from Rfam. Lineage: Bacteria; Candidatus Nomuraibacteriota.